This 213-nucleotide ribosomal RNA is filed under the name uncultured fungus. RNAcentral's name for it is "partial small subunit ribosomal RNA". The stretch from base 90 to 213 matches the Rfam family "Eukaryotic small subunit ribosomal RNA", at positions 738 to 864 of the family's 1831-position model. The record is from RNAcentral. Lineage: Eukaryota; Fungi.
GGCCGGGUUUGUUGGUCGCGCUAUUGGCGUGUACUGACGGCCUGGUCUUUCCUUGUGGGGAACGCAUGUGCACUUCAUUGUGUGUGUGCGGGAUCCACGACUUUUACUUUGAAAAAAUUAGAGUGUUUAAAGCGGGCAUUUGCUUGAAUACAUUAGCAUGGAAUAAUAGAAUAGGACUUUGGUUCUAUUUUGUUGGUUUCUAGGACCGAAGUA